GAACGGGACUGGUAGCAAUCCCAUGAGAGUGGCGCACGGGUGAGUAACGCGUAUGCAACCUGCCUUUAACUGAGGGAUAGCCCAUAGAAAUGUGGAUUAAUACCUCAUAGUUCUUAGGAACCGCAUGGUUUUGAAGAUAAAGCUCCGGCGGUUAAAGAUGGGCAUGCGUGACAUUAGCUAGUUGGUGAGGUAACGGCUCACCAAGGCUACGAUGUCUAGGGGUUCUGAGAGGAUGAUCCCCCACACUGGUACUGAGACACGGACCAGACUCCUACGGGAGGCAGCAGUGAGGAAUAUUGGUCAAUGGGCGCAAGCCUGAACCAGCCAUCCCGCGUGCAGGAUGACGGCCCUAUGGGUUGUAAACUGCUUUUAUACACCAAGAAAAACACCCACGUGUGGGUGCCCGACGGUAGUGUAUGAAGUAGGCGGCUUUUUAAGUCAGUGGUGAAAUCCUGCCGCUUAACGGUAGAAUUGCCAUUGAUACUGAAGAGCUUGAGUACAGUUGAGGUAAGCGGAAUGUGUAGUGUAGCGGUGAAAUGCUUAGAUAUUACACAGAACACCAAUUGCGAAGGCAGCUUACUAAACUGAUACUGACGCUGAUGCACGAAAGCGUGGGGAGCGAACAGGAUUAGAUACCCUGGUAGUCCACGCCGUAAACGAUGCUCACUCGCUGUUUGCGAUACACAGCAAGCGGCCAAGCGAAAGCAUUAAGUGAGCCACCUGGGGAGUACGAUCGCAAGGUUGAAACUCAAAGGAAUUGACGGGGGCCCGCACAAGCGGAGGAACAUGUGGUUUAAUUCGAUGAUACGCGAGGAACCUUACCUGGGCUUAAAUGGGGAACGACAGCUGCCGAAAGGUGGCCUUCUUCGGACGUUCUUCGAUACGCGAGGAACCUUACCUGGGCUUAAAUGGGGAACGACAGCUGCCGAAAGGUGGCCUUCUUCGGACGUUCUUCAAGGUGCUGCAUGGUUGUCGUCAGCUCGUGCCGUGAGGUGUCGGGUUAAGUCCCAUAACGAGCGCAACCCUUAUCGUUAGUUGCCAGCGGGUCAAGCCGGGGACUCUAGCGAGACUGCCACCGUAAGGUGUGAGGAAGGUGGGGAUGACGUCAAAUCAGCACGGCCCUUAUGUCCAGGGCUACACACGUGUUACAAUGGCCAAUACAAAGGGCAGCUACCGGGUGACCGGAUGCUAAUCUCUAAAGUUGGUCUCAGUUCGGAUCGAAGUCUG
This 1227-nucleotide ribosomal RNA is filed under the name uncultured bacterium. RNAcentral's name for it is "partial 16S ribosomal RNA". It matches the Rfam family "Bacterial small subunit ribosomal RNA", at positions 68 to 1307 of the family's 1533-position model. The record is from RNAcentral.